GCUUCACACCUCGACGUGGAAGGGACAAUGGAGGAGGUGACCCUUUGGAGAAGAGGCCAAUGACAUUCAAAUGCACCAAAGAAGACACACCUCAAGAGCUGUCUCUCUAUGCUUUCAAUCUUGAGCUGAAACACAAACCUCUUUCUGAAACACACACACUGAUCACCUUCUCAGAGGAGCUCAACGACAAAUACUUUAGUCAUAUCUCUUCAUUAUGUCUUCAUAAUUACGGAUGUUAAAUGUUCCGCUAAUUAAAAGCACCAACUCUUACCAUGAUGUAUGGUGCCCUUUUGUUUGUCAGCUUUCUAUUAAUAGUUCCUUCUGCGGUGGGCUUAAUUGAUUUCCUGGUGUGCUAAUUGAUUGCGAGGCUAGAGGGAGAUUUGUUUUGGAAGGUGAAUUAAGUUGAUUGUCUUACUUUAGAAACUGAGACCGAGAGAGAGACGGUGAGAGAUAAAAUUGCACCUCAGUCACAGAGGCAAUUAAAAGACCCCGACCUCGGCUAACAAUGACUUAUUAUCUCUGCCAGUCCUGAACCUGGGAGGAGAUUAUGUGUGCGAUGGCAUGUUUGCAUGCACGUGUGUGUACCGUCGUUGUCUGCAGACUCCUCGAUCCCAUUAAGCAGUUGGUCAACAAUGUGGAAUCACAUAAUUCUUCACUGAGCUGCAAACCGCGUUCUGGUUGUAUUUGUUACAUAUUGUUUCAACGCUGAUUCAUGUGAUUUGUGUUUUUUGGGCAUCAAACCAAAGAGAAUAUAGAAAUUUGAAUUUUCCUUUUUUAAAUAAUUAAUCAACAUUACUGUUGGAGGGGAUUUCAGUUUUGUCUAAAUGUACAACGUUCACCAAAUGUAACAACUUCAGCUUUUGAUCUGGAAGACUGCGAGACGGAUGUGUGAGAUUUCAGCAGUUAGGCGAAUUAAAAGUUUAUAACUUAAAGUGCUUAAGUAUGUGUAUAUGUAUUGCUUUGUAGAAGAACUGCUCAAUUCUUGGGGAAAAGAUAAUAAUUUCAAACAUUGCACAAAAAGUUGAAAUUGCAAAUUAUAAGUUCUUCUGGAAAGCAAUUUAAAUGAUCGUGUCCGGGCUUGCUAGUAGUUGCCCGGCUUUAGCCGAUUUGUAGCAUCUGAUUUUUUACCAUUUUUUUUUUAAUUUUCCAUGGUUAAACAUGCAGUAAGUACCUGUGUCUACCCAAUACAGCAGCGAGUUAUUACAAAACCCGGAGCCCACUUCACAGCGACAAGAACUCACUAAUUAUUUUAUAAUCACUUAUACGCAUCCCACUGUCGAGCCGCACUUUUAUAUGAGGAAGAAAUCUCUUUUCUUUUUUUUUCUUUUUUAGAACUUUCUCAACAAUAUCUGCAUAUAACGUGAAUGUAUUAGAAAAAUGUUGCAUGUAGGAAAAUAAAAACUGUAUUUUCUUUAAUAAUAGAAACCCCUAUCCUGGUAUUUUGACGACAGCGUAUUAUGAGGGUCUUGUGUUGCCUGAGUGGGACACUCUGAAAGAUAACAGACUGGUCAUUUCAGUGCAAUAACAAUGGCUCCACACUGGAAACCUUGUUAAGUCCCCUGAUGUACCCGACAGCCCUCUGAUCCCGUGAAACGAUUCAAUACCUUUCUGUCCAACUCGUGUCCCCGGGAGCAGUGUCAUAUUUGUUAGAUUUAUGAUCACUUCAUCAAUUGUGUUUUUCAGCCGGUAUGGCUCAGCUUACUGUACGGCUGUGGAAUUACAUGAUCGGGAGUGCAGAAGACGCCACUACAGCUUCUCUCUGAUCUUCUUUCUCUCCUGCCGUUCUCUCUGACUGUCUGUGUCUCCUCCCCAAGGAGGUCUCUCCAAGGUCUUCUCAAUAUCCCCGCUCCCCAUGCGGUUUUGGAUACUUGGCUUAAAACUGAUCAACUAUCAAACAUUUCACCUUGGGAGGGAAGUGAAGCAGAGAAAAUGAAUGUUCGAAGCUGAGAGGAGGGAAACGAGGAAGUAAUAAAAAGAGUGAACGCAUAAAAAAAUGAAAAUAAAAACAAAUGAGCGGGUAUGUUUUUUGUGAGCCCAUAUCAGACUGUGUGUGUGUGUGUCAUUUAGCGUCGGUGCGUUGUUCGCCAGGUCCGCAUUUCCCACAAGGCCUUGCAUGAGCGGGCAAGCGGCUGUUCUCCAGGGACGAUGACAACAGCAGUUCCAUUGUUGCCGCGGUGAUAUAUUGCUUGGGAAUCCCCUCGGGGCAGGAACCACUUAUUUAGACAUCAAAUCAAGACUGAAGACUCACACACACACACACACACACACCAAACACACCCGAUAGGUGCGCACAUACAAGAUGCUUCCUCGUGCACUCAUACACAGGAACGUAUGCAGACUCAGGGAAGUGGAUCCUCACACACACACACACACACACAGGGAUCUGAUAACGCAGAUACAUUGCAGCGUAUGCGUGGUCCGAGGAAAAACAUAAAUGUGCACAUUUACCUUUACUAAAGAACACUGUGAUGGUGGAAAUAUCUGCCGAUAAAAUACUUGAGUAUAAAAAUGUGAUUUCAUCUACCUGAUUGUUAGUCACAUUAUCAAUCGAUAUGAUUGUAUCAAAGGGUAUCGAACCUGCCGUUGGUUUACUUUACUCGUUGGUUUACUAGUCUUGCAGGUCAAAGGUUUGCAUGAUCAAUACAUGGUGAGAAUGUGACUGUAAAUCUACAGCUUCAUCAGUAAAUAUUGCUCAUUCAAAAUAAUUCUCCUGAGGAAACUGAAAUUUCAACUAAAACAAGCUUUUGGAUCCUACUUUUGGAGUUGUUUUUUUCUGUUGGUGUCGUGCUGUAACCCACACAAUGCGAUAGUUUUAAUCAUGCACACGGGACGCCGUUCCCAACACGUCUCCACCGCAUGUGUCCACCAUAUGUGUCUGUGCCUGUGUUUCCUUUUGUCACCAUGGGUUUCUCUACUUCUACUUCUUCACUGAAAACUAGACUUCUCUCAAAACAAUUUAACAUCAAUAAUGAAAAUGGCUUUUUUGAAUCAUUUCUUUCCAUUGCACUCUCCACUUAGAACAUUUGAGUUGUUUACAAAAGAUUACAUUAAAUGCUCAUUUUGAAACCCUUAAUUAGACCUAAAUGUUUAAUCAAACUCGAAGAACCCAACUCUUAAAAAUGGGCACUUUCUCCUUGAUUCAGGGGCAGUAAUCCUGCACAUCGUUCAUCGUUCAGAAUCAGUUAAUCAAAUGCUAUGGUCUCCGUCUUCCCUCCAUAUUUCUUUUAAAUUCCCUCCUUGAUGUGUAUGUCUCUCCAAUACUUACUCACCUGUCAAUCAAUUGCGUCCUCACGCUACGGGUCGUUCAUCAUUCAUCCGUGUGGAUCCCUUCAUUCACUCGCGAGUGGUGAACAAACAGUAAGGUCAAUAAUAACCGGAUCCUUAAAGUGUGGUUCAAAACAUGGAUUUUGAGGGUCAGAGAAAUUCCUUUUCAGCAUCAUAUGUGACUCAAUGUACGGCCAUGAUGAGCUAGAAGUCGUAAUCUAAAGACUCUUAGACGUCAUGGUCAAGAUAUAUAAAUCACAAGAAUGUGGCAAGAAGAAGAGACAUUAAAAUAAAUAUCCUUCAAACGUGUCCUUCGGUCCGGAGUCGGUCGUCUCUCCGUUUGAUUGUCUUCAUCAGUGAAACACACUCGUCUCCGGGGGCUUGAGUGAUUCCCAGUAGAUGUCUUUCCUGAAAUUGAAAAUGAAAACGCGCCCCGAGGCAACUGUCGUCCCCGUGGUGUUUUAUAUUACAAUUUAAUUACAGGAUUCUACCGUCAAAUAAUCAGGAGUAAAUUUGCUCUAGAAUAGGUGGCCAAUCUAUUAAAUUAAAGCAACUCUGUUACACUGGUACUUCUUCUCUCCUUCAGACUACGUCUUAUAUUGUAGUGGGUUAGUUUAGUAAAGCAGGCCGAUGGAGAUGAGAGCCGGUGGUGGGAGAGCGUUCCACGCACGAUAUAACCACUGGAUCUACUUACGUCUCCAGCAUGUGGGAAGCGGAAGUCAAAUGGGAAUCCUGGAGCACUGCAGCUUCAGUGGUUUGCCUGAUGGGACCGAUGUGAAUGAGGAGAUUAUCACCAUGUGACUGGGGAGGAGAGUGGGAAGGCAAUGGGAUAUGAACGGUGUGUGUGUGUGUGUGUGUGUGUGUGUGUGUGGUAAAUGGACUGUGAAGGUGAGUGGGAGAGGUUAAGUACUAAAUAGUGGGUGAUAGACCCAACUGUGAGCGCGCUGAUUGCAUAAUUGGAUGACUGGACGGCGCCAACGUUUCUCCCGUCGUGAGAAGCAAAAGAGCCGAGUAGAGGGAAGUAAGAAAGUAUAUUAUGAGAUUCUUUCCAGAAGAAAUUUCAUUUUGAGCUGCAAUUAUGAGUUCAUAUGUCUGCGGCGCAUCUUCGGGGCUCUCUGCAUGGUUUCCAUGUCACAUCUUGGUGUAAGUAUGAUUCAUGCUUUUCUUUUUGACUCAACACCUUCUAACCAUCUUAACUAUCCGGACGUAGGCCAAGAAAAAAGAGAAUUUUGAGGAACUUUGAGAAACAGACAAAGUUUCCCUUCACUUUGCUGCCAUGUGGGCAGAUGAUGGAGGAACCUGGAGAGGGGCUGAUCGUGAUGAACCUCCUGCUUGAUAUGAACUGAAGCGCAGCAAAGAGUGAACCUCCGACGUGAAACUGGUAAGAAGGCCCUGGAUGGACGCAGAAGGUCCAGCCUCGGGGUUCCUUAGGAACCCCUGGAGAAGCGUUGCAGGGGAGAAGGACAUUUGAAAUACUCUACCAGGCCUUCUGCCCCGAAGAAGCGUGUGUGGAAAAUGGAUGGAUGGAUGAAUAAAAGUAGAAUAAGACAGGUAGAAGAUUUAAGACUAAGAGCUAAAGUCCAAUGCAAGGAACUUUUUUUUAUGAAAGGUAACAGCAAACAAAAAGGUCUUCAGCCUUUAUUUAAAGGAAACGACAGCAGCAGCAGUUUUUCUUCCUUUAAGGCUCAUACAAACUGAACUGAAUGUAGCGAGGGCGCAAAUGUCGCCAAGGAUGAGCAUUUUGCCGUAACAAUACAAGUAUUUUCAGUCCGAGAAAGCCCAGAUCUGUCACUGCUUCAGCUUCACAAAAAAGACUAACCAUAAGAGUGCCACGUGGAAUCUCCAUUUAUGACCACAACCUGCAGGGACUACAAACAUAAAAGAAUUUUUGCCUUAUAUGUUAAUAUGUAUCUACAGUAUCUGUGCAGGUACAUUCGAUCGAUUUAUGCAUACUUUUAUGUGUUUCUCUGCGAUUUAAUUACAUUGACUUUUUUUGCAUAGGUGUGCAUUUGUGGGUGCUCCUACGACUCAGCAUACAUGCAUGUGUGUGUGUGUGUGUGUGUGUGCUGUGAUUGGUGAAUUGAGGUACUGACCAGAGCUGAGAAGGUCUAUCUUGGAUUCGCUGAUUCAGCACUGCUCAGAAAAAGAAUUAAGGACUGGACACAUGCACACACACGCGCACUCAAACUUUCUACUGCCAACUCGCCCUGCAGAAUGCUCUAACGGACGCAAUCUGACUUCACACACACACACACACACACACACACACACACCUCAAGCGUACAUGCAAGCAAACACACACACACCCUUGUGAAGCAUACACUUAAUGGAAAUGGGAUUAGAUGCAGCUGUAGUUAUUACAGCAAAGUGGUGUGUAGCGCUUAGCUCGCACAGGUCGCACUGUCCUCAUCGACAUGUUGUGUGUGUGUCAGGGAAGCAACAAGAGCACUCAAGAGCAAACCCGGGUUUUAAACAAAAUAGCUUUUAAUAAGAAUAAGCUCUGCCUGCAAGGGAGCAGGCACAAGGUCAUAGGGAACAUAUAAAUGCAAGGUCUCAAUAAAUCAAUGAUGACGAGUUGCGUCAAGAAUAACAGACAAACCGGCAAAAACACACACGGUGUAAAUACACUGGGGAGGUGCAGACGAUACAUGAUUUUAAUGGUCCGGAAGAGACUUUUCUUUUCUUACAGACACACGUUUCACACUCUGAAAUACAGACAAUGAACAAAAUAUCAUGUAUGAGAGUCCAAGAAGCCACAGUCUUAUAGUACCGAGCUUAACAAAAGCACAAAAGGUCCUUAGCCACAAAAUAUGGUUUGGUAAUUGUCUGCAUGUGUUCAGUAAUAUUCAACCAAUCCACAUUAUUUGUUAAUCAUGAAAGCACAGAUCCAUGUGCGCUGCUGCCUGAUUUGUCUGUGUGGUAAGUUAAAUAUGCAGCAACGGUUCUACCAUCUCACACACACACACACACACACACACACAGAAACUGAUCAAACUCUGAGGUUUGUGACGGCAAUGCAAAGGCCUCAUUGGGGGAGGCAACUUCUGUGUGUGGGCUUAGUAACCUAUGCAUGUAUUUACAUUGGGAAAUCCUUGUAUGUGUGUGGGGAUAGGGAAUCCGUGCGUGUGUGUGUGUGUGUGUGUGUGUGUGUGUGCGCGUGCGCGCAUGCGUCCCAUGGGCAGAUUGUGAGGGAGCCUGUGGUGUGAUGUGUGAUGUAAACAGGGAUCAUUAGCAUAGCGACAGCCAGCAGCAUUCACACUGUGUCUACACCUCCAGGGCGCUGACAGACACACAAUCACACACACAAACAAAAGGCGUGCACACUUGGAAGGUAAUAGCUGUCCAAUACAUGUCCAAUAUAAAUAAAGACACACACACACACACACAUUUUACAUUACGCAUUACAUACAUGCAAUCCCAUCUCAUCUCUUCCUGGAGAAACCCCCUGUAUCUUUAUGGAAAUUGACUGCAGACAGGGAUUGGCUUUUUAUGUCUGAUUUACGUUGCACGUUGUGUGUGUCUGCGUGUGUGUGUCUGCGUGUGCGCGUGUGUGCGUGUAUGAAUGUGUAAAUUGAGCGCAGACAGGGAUUGCGUUUUAUGCCUCUUUUAUUGGUCGGCAUAUAGAUGCUGUCAGGAGCGCGUAAAGAGAAAAGGGGAGACGUGAAGAGGAUGGAAGGGGGAGACGAAGAAGCAGAGGGGAGGAAUAGGAAAGAGCACCGGAGGUGAUUGAAGGAGGAGACGUUACCUGUGGAUGGGUGAGCAGAGGGAGCAGGAGGGAAGAUUAGGUGGCAAAAGGGAAAGGAGGUAGAGUGAGGGGAUGUGGACGGGAAGAUGGGGAAAAGACGGGGAGAAUGAAAGCAUAGGACCAGAGGGAAGACCGAGGUGAGAAGAUCAGAGAGCUUUUUGGGUGAUCAAUCCUCGCCUGCUCUGAAGUGGCCCAUUUUCCAACCCCUUGUUUAACAACCUGUGGCGCUACACAGUGCAACGCAGCGCACUGCGUUCCUCUGCGACCCCUCUGCCCUCCAGCAACCACGCAACGCCCGGGAGGGGAGGUGAAGGGAGAGGGGAGAGGGGAGGGGAUGGGAGGGAAGAGAGGGGAGGUGAGGGAGGUUUUCCCGCUGUUUAUUGAUAUUCUGCUUCCGUAAAUACAGACCAAUUCGUCUCUGCUGUCACACACGUGCACACGCUCGCCGACGGGCCUCGAAGCAUGUACACACACACACAAUCGCACACACACACACACACACACACACGCCUCGUGGAUGGAUCCGCGAGAGGAAGGACGGGGAUGUAAAGGUGGAGAGGACGACUAGAGAGGAAAGAGAAACAAGGGAGACAACAAGAGAAGAAGCAAAGAGCAGAUAAAAGGGGAGGGGGGGGAAGAGGGGGGUGAGAGAAAAGUGACGAGAUGUGAGCAGAAGGUGAGGAGGAUGAGAAGAAGGAGAAGCACAAUCCAGAGUGAUUGAUAGGCAAUCCGUGUCAGCCAGGCUUUCCUUGGCAGAGAGACAACGAGGGAUUUGUCUCACGCUUCCGUCCCUCAUUUCUUUCAUUUUUUUCUCAUUUCCACACACGUUUUUUUUACUUUGCGUUUUUAUCAUCACAUUCUCUCCUCCCCCUCUCUGGUUCCAGAGACGGAGUGAGAGGCAUUCAUUUGCUUGAGUUGAUUGCUUUGGAGCCUUUCACACUCGUCAUACCUCUCCUAUUCCACUUCUGUCCCUUGGCUUUCCUUUUCUUCUCCUCCCCGUUUUUUUUUUUCUCUGCAUAAUUUCCAAUUUCCUUCCACCGCCCCCAAAAAUACAAGCACGCCACUGUCUAUCCCCUCUUAUUCACGUCUCUGUGCACUUCACUCGCUCCUUUUUUAAAUUAAUGUUUGAAUUAUUUAGUGACGUAAAGUGAACAUUAUCUCCAGGAAAAGUAGGAAAUAAUUUCAAGACUCAACUAGAAACUUUAUCAAGUGCAAAAGGUGAAAACACUGGUAUGUAACAGCGUCUCAUAGGAUGCAAUAAAGCAUCAGAACUAACAUGUUGUCAUAGCCUCAUUAUCAUCAUCAUAUGGUUUUUAACAACUUGUUGAAUGUACGUUUCAAUAUUUGCUCUCUGCCAACACAGAGUAUGAUCCCUACAAACUCUUGAAGGGUGUAUUUGUUUUAAGUAAAAGCAAAACUGCACAAUAGUGAAAGACUAUUAAAAAAACUCCCCCAACGUAAACAGCAAGUGGUUGAUUCUGAAGCCACCUGUGUAACAUUCAAUGGCUCCCUCUGCAGAACCUGAGCAACAGAAACUAUGGUUACGGUUUUGAAACACUUGUGGUCGUGUGUGAUGGACAUCGUAAGAUUGAGGUUCCUGUUUGGGUCGACAGAAGUGUGUUUUUUGUUAACAUGACGCUAACUAAUGACCGCAUUCUCCCCUCAACUUUAAUCAAGUCUCGCUUAAAAGUCAGAACACCAGAUGUGCAAAUUAUUAAACCCAUCAGGGUACUACAGUGAAAAAACUAAAUAUUUCCUCAAUAUCAUUGAAAUCUUUAAAAUAAUCGCAGCUGCAUGUAGAGAAUAAAACGUACUGAUUUUUAAAUUGAAGCAAACUUUAUUUCCAACAAUCAUAGUAACAAAUGUGCGUUUUUAUGAUAAGAAAAAUAUACAGAAUGACUUUUUCUGUUGAUUAUUUGUAAAAGGUUACUGGUACUUUUUCCUUUUUCCAGAUAAAUGCCAGAAAAGUAAAUGUGUGUUGGGUGAAUUUCCCCAGGAAAAUCUGCAAAAUGUCAAAGCUUUCACAGCCACAGAAUAAAUUCUCACCCUCUGUAAUAGCAGAACGUAACAAAGCUCAUGAAACUGGGUUUUAUUUUAUUUUUUUACACGUCAAACUCACAUAAACAUAUUAUAAAAAAAUUAAUUAUCUCUUCUUACAUGUCCUCCCUUUCUUAUGAAUGUCACCCAUUGGAGUUUUAUUCUGACCCGCGAAAAAAGAGAGCGUGUUUUUCAUACAUUGAAUAAAAGAUAGAUUUGCAUAAUGGCCACUGUUAUUCUGCAGCCUCCUGUUAUUGAAUAAGAACUCUUUUGACAGACGGGGACAAAUGGAGGGAUGCUUGAGUGGGAUGGAGGAGAGGAGGGAUGAAGCGCACAGACGGACGUGUGAACCGUGAAAGAAGAAAUGUAUAGGCUGAGAAAA
Gasterosteus aculeatus aculeatus (three-spined stickleback) is the source of this 9428-nucleotide long non-coding RNA. The record is from Ensembl. NCBI's taxonomy places the organism in Eukaryota, Metazoa, Chordata, Actinopteri, Perciformes, Gasterosteidae.